Molecule: long non-coding RNA, 1141 nt
Filed under: Nicotiana benthamiana
Lineage: Eukaryota; Viridiplantae; Streptophyta; Magnoliopsida; Solanales; Solanaceae
Description: long non-coding RNA (NBEN_LNC035126)
Source: RNAcentral
UUGGAUAUACAAAUAUGUUAGUUCUUGCCAGUGUUGCUGCUCAUCACAGGCACGGAUAAGCUUGGGAAUGUUGAGACGGGUGGAAAAUAACUUAAUGUGUUCCAUGAGCUUCUCGUAACGGUAUCUGGCAUAAAGGACGCCAAGUUCUGUGAAAAUACCCAUAUGGGCACGCUCCAAACCUAGCCCACUCUCCAUAAGGGAGAUCAAUUCAUUGAAACAUCCUCUAUUCUGGUAAUAUUCACUCACUUCCUCCAGAUCAUCCACCUGCCAAAGCAAAAGCAGAUACAACCUUUCAACAGUAUUCCAGGUAAUCUCAAUGCAAUUUAAAUAAGAAUGUUGACACAGAAAGGAUCCCUGGUAACUUAUGAAACACAAUGCUAAGUUACCUGUACGAUAAUGUUAAGCCCACAAAUCUGAGCUAAGCGGAACUCUUCAGCGUCAACACAAGCAAAGCAGACUUCUUUCCACGUUUUUGCACUAUUUGCUUUACGUGCUGCAUCAACAGCACCUUGGAACUGAUCUAGCUUCACAAGCGUACUAGCCAACUUGGCCCAGUUAGAAAUAAAAGCAAAUAUGAUCUUUGCAGCCUCAUAUAAGGCGAACUGAUUUAGCUUCACAAGUGUACUAGCCAACUUGGCCCAGUUAGAAAUAAAAGCAAAUAUGAUCUUUGCAGCCUCAUAUAAGGCUUCAUCAUACAACCGGUCACCAACAUUUUGUAGAUUAGCAGCAUUUGGCAUGAGAAUGAACUCUUCAAUGUCACUCAAUCGAUCUAUUUUAGCAUAUGCAUAGAUUAGUUCACUGUCAACCUUGGGCUCUUUUGACUUCUGCCUUACCAUCAGCAGAUACUUCACCAAAUCAUGGUAAACAUCUGCAUCCUCUGCAGCAUGAAUGACAUCCAAAAAUUGGGUGGUAUCAUCUGCACGAAUAAAUGACUCAAUAGCAUCACUAAUUAAUCCUUCUCUCAGCUGAGCUUUAGCCACUUGGCUCCAAACACGAAUGACAUCCAUAAAUUGGGUGGUAUCAUCUGCACGAAUAAACGACUCAAUAGCAUCACUGAUUAAUCCUUCUCUCAGCUGAGCUUUAGCCACUUGGCUCCAAACAGCAUCUUCUUCAACUCUGAAGGCAAACUCCACAGCCCGAU